AUGCACGCUGGCGGCGUGCUUAACACCUGCAAGUCGCACGAUGAAGCCCAGCUUGCUGGGUGGAUUAGUGGCGAACGGGUGAGUAACACGUGAGUAACCUGCCCUUAACUCUGGGAUAAGCCUGGGAAACUGGGUCUAAUACCGGAUAGGAGCGUCCACCGCAUGGUGGGUGUUGGAAAGAUUUAUCGGUUUUGGAUGGACUCGCGGCCUAUCAGCUUGUUGGUGAGGUAAUGGCUCACCAAGGCGACGACGGGUAGCCGGCCUGAGAGGGUGACCGGCCACACUGGGACUGAGACACGGCCCAGACUCCUACGGGAGGCAGCAGUGGGGAAUAUUGCACAAUGGGCGCAAGCCUGAUGCAGCGACGCCGCGUGAGGGAUGACGGCCUUCGGGUUGUAAACCUCUUUCAGUAGGGAAGAAGCGAAAGUGACGGUACCUGCAGAAGAAGCACCGGCUAACUACGUG
Molecule: ribosomal RNA, 465 nt
Filed under: uncultured bacterium
Lineage: Bacteria
Description: partial 16S ribosomal RNA
Rfam family: Bacterial small subunit ribosomal RNA
Source: RNAcentral